Molecule: long non-coding RNA, 1875 nt
Organism: Cyprinus carpio carpio
Lineage: Eukaryota; Metazoa; Chordata; Actinopteri; Cypriniformes; Cyprinidae
Source: Ensembl
UUUUUUUAUUGUAUGUUUUAGCCAUGGUUCCCAUCCACUUACAUUAUAAGACUGACAGACUGCAACGGUUUGAGCUAAAAAUCUUGGUUUGUGUUCUACUGAAGAAACAAAGUCACCUACAUCUUGGAUGUCCUGGGGGUAAGCAGAUGAACAUAAAAUGUUCAUUUUUGGGUGAACUAUCCCUUUAAGGCCCGUUCACACCAAGAACGAUAUCUGUAAAUAUCUAAAAAUCAUUCUUUAUUUAAGAGAAUACACAUCACAACUAUAACGAUAACGAUUUACAGGAACAAUAUCAAUAAAAUCCAUUUCAGAAAGAUAUUUUCUAUCUAAUGAAGAAUAAAACACUGACAGCCAAUCAGAAUCCAUUCUGCUUUAAGAUGCUCAAGCAUUUAAAAUAAUAAAUGAAAGCGUGCACCUAUAUUAAACAGAACGGUAAUGUGCAUUGGUGUGGACAAUAAUAUAGUUAUCUUUAUAGUUAGCUUUCUUGGUGUGAAUGAUGGAAAGUAUUUUUAAUUAUUCGUCAUUAUGCAUUUACAAUUUUUGGUUAACACAACCUCUGCAUUUAGUAUGCAAGAGUAGAAUUAGUGCAUCCCAAAUCAUCAACUGUUGAAAAUAACAUGCUAAAAGAUCCUGGGUGGUUUACUGUGUCAGGUGACUUGUCCAAAAAAAAGACAAAAAAUCUGUUUAUGCUUUUUGAGGUUAUAAGUUAAAGUUCAAGAUUUAGUCACUGAAAAACCAAUACUGUGAUCAACUAAUACUUUGAAUAUUUGGGUUGUGUAAAAAUGUUAAACCUAAGAUAUGUAAGUUCUGAAUUUAGCGUCAUGCUAACACAAACAGUACAUGACAGGGGCCUGUGGUGAUUUUAUGAUGUGGUUGUACAGUAUGUCUCAAUACUGGCAAAGCGUCUAAAUACACACUCAGCCGCAGCUCUACUUUCCUAGCAGCAAAUAAAGUAUGUUUAUUUAGCGUGUAGCAAAAGUAUGGGAUGUAAGGUGCGACCAAUGUUUAGGUACUCAUUAUGAAAUUAGGUAAGACUGAGAAUUAUGCAUUUCGUGACUUUUUUUUCGUGACAAAUGCUUGAGCUGUGCAGUUCUUCUGUCUUUGCACACAAUGUUGCAGUUUUCAGAGUUUGCUCAGAGCAAGAUAAGGCAUGUGUCAGACAGAUCUACAAAAUGCAAGCCACCUGAUAAUACUACGGGUAUUUCUACAUAUCAGAUCUUUUUUUACGAAUCAUUAGCUCAGCAGAUGGUGGGUAGGGGGGGGGUGCUUUUUAACCUAUUCAUUUUUUUCCAUUAAUGCUUUGAUUUCCAUGAAAUGAUUAAUGCACCUUAUUAUAAUGAUCUGAUUAUCUAUUACUAAGGAAGUAGACACUUUGAUGGUUAGAGGUGAUUACAGGCUUAACUUAAACUAGAAUUAACUGUUUGAAAGAAAACUUACAUUACCUUUUUUUUAGCCUUAUUACUGUACAAUUUGUUUUGUUUAAAAGCUAUGCUGUUAGUAUUAACAAUCACGUUUUCCUUCUGUAAGUCAUAUCAACUUGUAUAACAACAUUUGUGGCCUUACUUUUGGAACUGUAUAUGCAGGAGCACUUUAAAAAGUUUUCUGCAACAUUUGAAACUAAAACACUGUAACAUACACUAGGAAGCCACAAAUAAAAGUUCAUAUUUGUAACUUUUAAUCUUUCAAAUCACUGUGCAAAAUGUCAGUUCAGUCAUUUAUAGAAACAUUCAUACACGGGGAAAGUCAUAUCAAGAUGUUUCUGACUGGAAAUGUUACAUAUGUAUUAGUAUAAUUUAGAAUAAUAAAAAAUAAAACAAAGAAUUAUGUGUAAACGUAUUCAGAUCCUCCCUUUGGUAUAAUACCUUUAGCUGAUAU